UACGCCCGAUCUCGUCCGAUCUCGGAAGCCAAGCAGGGUCGGGCCUGGUUAGUACUUGGAUGGGAGACCGCCUUGGAAUACCAGGUGCUGUAGGCUU
This 97-nucleotide ribosomal RNA is filed under the name Chelon saliens (leaping mullet). Lineage: Eukaryota; Metazoa; Chordata; Actinopteri; Mugiliformes; Mugilidae. The record is from RNAcentral.